This 269-nucleotide long non-coding RNA is filed under the name Glycine max (soybean). RNAcentral describes it as "long non-coding RNA (GMAX_LNC001038)". The record is from RNAcentral. Lineage: Eukaryota; Viridiplantae; Streptophyta; Magnoliopsida; Fabales; Fabaceae.
AUAUAUAAGAGCAUUUUAAUUAUUCAAAGUUUGGGUUCAAAAUUGAUCGUAAGGGUUGAAAUUGGAUCUAGCAUCAUGUGUUAUUCAUUGUCGAAGAACACAACAUGAAUCUGAUUUGGGGGAGACAACUCUAAUGCACCUUUGCUCGUCGACGUUGAAGAAGAAGGUAUGUUUCAUCCGUUAUGAUGCAAUAAAUUUUUCCUUUUGCUUUUCUAAUGCAGGUACAACCUACGAUGUUGCCAACGAAGAAGGUGGUGUGUAUGGAGAAG